CGUGGCUUCCAAUAGACAAGGUUAAGGUGUUUCUGAACUCUUUUUGUGUUACAUUCGUGACCGCACUCUGACGCUAACAUUUUUAUUUAAACAACUAAGUUCAACUGUGACUCUUCAUGGCCAAUUUUGUGUUUUGAGUCAAACAUAUGAUUAACUUGAAAGCUAUGUAUCCCUAAUCAAACAACAAGUUUUGUUUGAAAGUUAUAACAUGAUUUAACCAUUGCUGCGAAUAAGUUCAAAUCUUUUUUAAAAGUGAAUAUCGAAUUAUGAUAGACUGUUUCGCCUUUGAAAGAAAUACUCAUGAAAAUCCACUAAUAGAUAACUAGUGUUGAAUAAAUAUAUACACUUACAAUCUGCAAUAAAUGGUUAUGCGCAAAUCGACCCAGACAGACAGGUAGCAAGAACCAAAAGAAAUUACGUCACCAUGCGAGGGGCGUCUGCUGAGGGGAAAGACUCCCAAGACAUUUGUGCAGUCAAGAAAAAUGACAGAUAAGGAUCAGGAAAAGGCUGAGUCUCUCGUGGUCUUAAUGACUCUGGGUGACUGAAUUACGAAUGUUUUUUAUUUCAGUGCGGGUUGUUUGUGGUAAGUCAUUGAAUUUCCCGUUGUUCUUCGUCGUGAUUCGAGUGCUGGAAAAAAAAAAGGGGAGGAAAAGGCAUAGAUCGAGGAAGAUUAUGAUGGAUGGCUGUCGUUUGAAAGGAGGUAUAUAAAACUGGAAGCUGAAGGAUUAAGACGCACGUCGGAUAAUUAGGAGAAAAUGACUCAAACCAAUAAAUGACAAAAACGAAAAAAAUUGUAAAA
Molecule: long non-coding RNA, 799 nt
Filed under: Penaeus japonicus
Lineage: Eukaryota; Metazoa; Arthropoda; Malacostraca; Decapoda; Penaeidae
Description: uncharacterized LOC122260410
Source: RNAcentral